ACGCCGUUGGUGAAAUGGUUAUCAUGCUUGCCUUCCACUCAACUGCUUAACUAAGCAUUGGCUGAGAGCAAGCGGCGGGGGUUCGAUUCCCUCACGGCGUA
RNAcentral lists this transfer RNA (101 nucleotides) under Rhizoctonia solani. RNAcentral's name for it is "tRNA-Gly". It matches the Rfam family "tRNA". Rfam says of the family: Transfer RNA (tRNA) molecules are approximately 80 nucleotides in length. Their secondary structure includes four short double-helical elements and three loops (D, anti-codon, and T loops). Further hydrogen bonds mediate the characteristic L-shaped molecular structure. tRNAs have two regions of fundamental functional importance: the anti-codon, which is responsible for specific mRNA codon recognition, and the 3' end, to which the tRNAs corresponding amino acid is attached (by aminoacyl-tRNA synthetases). tRNAs cope with the degeneracy of the genetic code in two manners: having more than one tRNA (with a specific anti-codon) for a particular amino acid; and 'wobble' base-pairing, i.e. permitting non-standard base-pairing at the 3rd anti-codon position. The record is from RNAcentral. Lineage: Eukaryota; Fungi; Basidiomycota; Agaricomycetes; Cantharellales; Ceratobasidiaceae.